GAUUAACGCGAAGAACCUUACCUGGGCUAGAAUGCUGGGAGACCGUGGGUGAAAGCUCACUUUGUAGCAAUACACUGCCAGUAAGGUGCUACAUGGCUGUCGUCAGCUCGUGCCGUGAGGUGUUGGGUUAAGUCCCGCAACGAGCGCAACCCCCAUCACUAGUUGCCAUCAGGUAACGCUGGGAACUCUAGUGAAACUGCCGUCGUAAGACGUGAGGAAGGAGGGGAUGAUGUCAAGUCAUCAUGGCCUUUAUGCCCAGGGCUACACACGUGCUACAAUGGGGCGUACAAAGGGCUGCAACAUAGCGAUAUGAAGCUAAUCCCAAAAAACGCCUCUCAGUUCAGAUUGGAGUCUGCAACUCGACUCCAUGAAGCUGGAAUCGCUAGUAAUCGUAUAUCAGCAAUGAUACGGUGAAUACGUUCCCGGGCCUUGUACACACCGAAUCACUAGU
Molecule: ribosomal RNA, 451 nt
Filed under: uncultured bacterium
Lineage: Bacteria
Description: bacterial SSU rRNA
Rfam family: Bacterial small subunit ribosomal RNA
Source: RNAcentral